UUCCUCCUCCUUCCAAAAUCCCUGUCAUGUUUUCCAGAAGGAUUCGGCUUCUGGAAAACAUGACAGGGGGUUGAAAAAGGAGGAGGAG
Non-coding RNA from Xyrichtys novacula (pearly razorfish), 88 nucleotides. The record is from the annotation of a GenBank genome assembly. NCBI's taxonomy places the organism in Eukaryota, Metazoa, Chordata, Actinopteri, Labriformes, Labridae.